GGCAACCGCCUCUGAAGGAGGUGCUAUCAUGAGCGACUUUCUUGACCAGAUUAUCGCCCCGCUCUUUGUGGGAGUGAUACUCUUGUUGCUUGAUCAUUGGUUGAAUGAUCAGCGGUAAUCUCAUGGUUGCCAUCAACCCACACGCCUAGCC
Molecule: non-coding RNA, 151 nt
Filed under: Lacticaseibacillus zeae
Lineage: Bacteria; Bacillati; Bacillota; Bacilli; Lactobacillales; Lactobacillaceae
Description: Enterococcus sRNA B11
Rfam family: Enterococcus sRNA B11
About the family: Name 'Ref' stands for RNA in E. faecalis.
Source: RNAcentral